CAAUAGCGUAUAUUAAAGUUGUUGCGGUUAAAAAGCUCGUAGUUGGAUUUCUUCCAGGGGCAGCCGGUCCACACUACGUGUGCGUAUCUGGUUUGACUUUGGAAUCCUCUUGGGGAACGGCUCUGCGCUUAAUUGCGUGGACCGGUAUUCAAGACUUUUACUUUGAGGAAAUUAGAGUGUUCACGGCAGGCAAUCGCCCUGAAUACAUUAGCAUGGAAUAAUAAUAUAGGAUUUCGGUUCUAUUUUGUUUGGUUUCUUAGAGCUGAAAUAAUGAUUAAUAGGGACAAUUGGGGCGAUUCGUAUCAACACGUUAGAGGUGAAAUUACUUGGAUCGUGUUG
This 339-nucleotide ribosomal RNA is filed under the name uncultured eukaryote. RNAcentral describes it as "bacterial SSU rRNA". It matches the Rfam family "Eukaryotic small subunit ribosomal RNA", at positions 592 to 932 of the family's 1831-position model. The record is from RNAcentral.